UUGGAGUCUCAGAGAGUUGAUCCUGGCUAGGACGAACGCUGGCGGCGUGCUUAACACAUGCAAGUCGAACGGAAAGGCCCUGCUUUGUGGGGUGCUCGAGUGGCGAACGGGUGAGUAACACGUGAGUAACCUGCCCUUGACUUUGGGAUAACUUCAGGAAACUGGGGCUAAUACCGGAUAGGAGCUCCUGCUGCAUGGUGGGGGUUGGAAAGUUUCGGCGGUUGGGGAUGGACUCGCGGCUUAUCAGCUUGUUGGUGGGGUAGUGGCUUACCAAGGCUUUGACGGGUAGCCGGCCUGAGAGGGUGACCGGCCACAUUGGGACUGAGAUACGGCCCAGACUCCUACGGGAGGCAGCAGUGGGGAAUAUUGCACAAUGGGCGGAAGCCUGAUGCAAGCAACGCCGCGUGCGGGAUGACGGCCUUCGGGUUGUAAACCGCUUUCGCCUGUGACGAAGCGUGAGUGACGGUAAUGGGUAAAGAAGCACCGGCUAACUACGUGCCAGCAGCGGC
RNAcentral lists this ribosomal RNA (509 nucleotides) under uncultured bacterium. RNAcentral's name for it is "bacterial SSU rRNA". It matches the Rfam family "Bacterial small subunit ribosomal RNA", at positions 1 to 518 of the family's 1533-position model. The record is from RNAcentral.